AAGUCGAACGAACUUCCGUUAAUUGAUUAUGACGUGCUUGCACUGAAUGAGAUUUUAACACGAAGUGAGUGGCGGACGGGUGAGUAACACGUGGGUAACCUGCCCAGAAGCAGGGGAUAACACCUGGAAACAGAUGCUAAUACCGUAUAACAGAGAAAACCGCCUGGUUUUCUUUUAAAAGAUGGCUCUGCUAUCACUUCUGGAUGGACCCGCGGCGCAUUAGCUAGUUGGUGAGGUAACGGCUCACCAAGGCGAUGAUGCGUAGCCGACCUGAGAGGGUAAUCGGCCACAUUGGGACUGAGACACGGCCCAGACUCCUACGGGAGGCAGCAGUAGGGAAUCUUCCACAAUGGACGCAAGUCUGAUGGAGCAACGCCGCGUGAGUGAAGAAGGGUUUCGGCUCGUAAAGCUCUGUUGUUAAAGAAGAACGUGGGUGAGAGUAACUGUUCACCCAGUGACGGUAUUUAACCAGAAAGCCACGGCUAACUACGUGCCAGCAGCCGCGGUAAUACGUAGGUGGCAAGCGUUAUCCGGAUUUAUUGGGCGUAAAGCGAGCGCAGGCGGUCUUUUAAGUCUAAUGUGAAAGCCUUCGGCUCAACCGAAGAAGUGCAUUGGAAACUGGGAGACUUGAGUGCAGAAGAGGACAGUGGAACUCCAUGUGUAGCGGUGAAAUGCGUAGAUAUAUGGAAGAACACCAGUGGCGAAGGCGGCUGUCUGGUCUGUAACUGACGCUGAGGCUCGAAAGCAUGGGUAGCGAACAGGAUUAGAUACCCUGGUAGUCCAUGCCGUAAACGAUGAUUACUAAGUGUUGGAGGGUUUCCGCCCUUCAGUGCUGCAGCUAACGCAUUAAGUAAUCCGCCUGGGGAGUACGACCGCAAGGUUGAAACUCAAAAGAAUUGACGGGGGCCCGCACAAGCGGUGGAGCAUGUGGUUUAAUUCGAAGCUACGCGAAGAACCUUACCAGGUCUUGACAUCUUCUGCCAACCUAAGAGAUUAGGCGUUCCCUUCGGGGACAGAAUGACAGGUGGUGCAUGGUUGUCGUCAGCUCGUGUCGUGAGAUGUUGGGUUAAGUCCCGCAACGAGCGCAACCCUUAUUACUAGUUGCCAGCAUUCAGUUGGGCACUCUAGUGAGACUGCCGGUGACAAACCGGAGGAAGGUGGGGACGACGUCAAAUCAUCAUGCCCCUUAUGACCUGGGCUACACACGUGCUACAAUGGAUGGUACAACGAGUCGCGAAACCGCGAGGUUUAGCUAAUCUCUUAAAACCAUUCUCAGUUCGGACUGUAGGCUGCAACUCGCCUACACGAAGUCGGAAUCGCUAGUAAUCGCGGAUCAGCAUGCCGCGGUGAAUACGUUCCCGGGCCUUGUACACACCGCCCGUCACACCAUGAGAGUUUGUAACACCCAAAGCCGGUGGG
Molecule: ribosomal RNA, 1419 nt
Filed under: Leuconostoc mesenteroides
Lineage: Bacteria; Bacillati; Bacillota; Bacilli; Lactobacillales; Lactobacillaceae
Description: bacterial SSU rRNA
Rfam family: Bacterial small subunit ribosomal RNA
Source: RNAcentral